AUUGAACGCUAGCGGCAUGCUUAACACAUGCAAGUCGAACGGCAGCACGAGGAGCUUGCUCCUUGGUGGCGAGUGGCGGACGGGGUGAGUAACGCGUAGGAAUCUACCUUAUAGUGGGGGACAACCCGGGGAAACUCGGCGUAAUACCGCAUAAUCUUUACGAAGCAAAGACAGGGGACCUUCGGGCCUUGCGCUAUAAGAUGAGCCUGCGUCGGAUUAGCUAGUUGGUGGGGUAAAGGCCUACCAAGGCGACGAUCCGUAGCUGGUCUGAGAGGACGACCAGCCACACUGGGACUGAGACACGGCCCAGACUCCUACGGGAGGCAGCAGUGGGGAAUAUUGGGACAAAUGGGCGAAAAGCCUGAUCCAGCAAUGCCGCGUGUGUGAAGAAGGCCUCGGUUGUAA
Molecule: ribosomal RNA, 405 nt
Filed under: uncultured bacterium
Lineage: Bacteria
Description: bacterial SSU rRNA
Rfam family: Bacterial small subunit ribosomal RNA
Source: RNAcentral